AAGUCGUAACAAGGUAACCGUAGGUGAACCUGCGGUUGGAUCAUUACCAAUAUUCGUAUUGUCUUUUUCUAUGAUUACUUUUGGUACUAUUGUUUACUUACUUAACGUAGUGUUCAAUGGUACAAAAAGUGAUUCACAGUGUUGAUUAUUCUUGGUAGUUUGUGUUUUUUUGGUCCCUUUCUUUUUUUGGUUCAUUCCAGAGUAGGGGGGGAUCCGUUCUGUUUUGUUUUUUGGCAAAACAGACCAUUCUACCAAGAGCUUUUAAAACAAACCUAUUAUUUUAUUACAAGUUUGUCUAAAAUUUUAUACUUUUUUUCAUUUUCUUUCUUGGAAACAGGGAAGAAAUGGGGAAAAAUACAAUUGAUAAAACAACUUUUGACAACGGAUCUCUUGGCUCUC
This 399-nucleotide unclassified non-coding RNA is filed under the name fungal sp. Its description in RNAcentral is "partial internal transcribed spacer region". The stretch from base 1 to 46 matches the Rfam family "Eukaryotic small subunit ribosomal RNA", at positions 1786 to 1831 of the family's 1831-position model. Lineage: Eukaryota; Fungi. The record is from RNAcentral.